This 467-nucleotide ribosomal RNA is filed under the name uncultured bacterium. RNAcentral describes it as "partial 16S ribosomal RNA". It matches the Rfam family "Bacterial small subunit ribosomal RNA", at positions 29 to 507 of the family's 1533-position model. The record is from RNAcentral.
ACGAACGCUGGCGGCGUGCUUAACACAUGCAAGUCGAACGGAAAGGCCCUGCUUUUGUGGGGUGCUCGAGUGGCGAACGGGUGAGUAACACGUGAGUAACCUGCCCUUGACUUUGGGAUAACUUCAGGAAACUGGGGCUAAUACCGGAUAGGAGCUCCUGCUGCAUGGUGGGGGUUGGAAAGUUUCGGCGGUUGGGGAUGGACUCGCGGCUUAUCAGCUUGUUGGUGGGGUAGUGGCUUACCAAGGCUUUGACGGGUAGCCGGCCUGACAGGGUGACCGGCCACAUUGGGACUGAGAUACGGCCCAGACUCCUACGGGAGGCAGCAGUGGGGAAUAUUGCACAAUGGGCGGAAGCCUGAUGCAGCAACGCCGCGUGCGGGAUGACGGCCUUCGGGUUGUAAACCGCUUUCGCCUGUGACGAAGCGUGAGUGACGGUAAUGGGUAAAGAAGCACCGGCUAACUACGUG